Molecule: unclassified non-coding RNA, 268 nt
Filed under: fungal sp.
Lineage: Eukaryota; Fungi
Description: partial internal transcribed spacer region
Source: RNAcentral
CUUGGUCAUUUAGAGGGAUUUAAAGUCGUAACAAGGUGUUCGUCCGUAGGUGAACCUACUGAAGGAUCAUUUGGUAUUCAUUUACGCAUGAAAACCAGCCGAACCACAAACUGUGUACUGUCUUUCGGCUUUAAUGCCUGAGGCUGUAACUGCGUGGGCAGGCCCAAGCACUAACGGACUUUGAGCCGUCAGCCCUAUAAUCAUUGACUGUGACUGAAACAUCUUUAAUCAUUAAAGACAACUUUUAGCAAUGGAUCUCUAGGCUCUC